RNAcentral lists this ribosomal RNA (496 nucleotides) under uncultured bacterium. RNAcentral's name for it is "partial 16S ribosomal RNA". It matches the Rfam family "Bacterial small subunit ribosomal RNA", at positions 28 to 506 of the family's 1533-position model. The record is from RNAcentral.
GAUGAACGCUGGCGGCGUGCCUAAUACAUGCAAGUCGAGCGAACGGACGAGAAGCUUGCUUCUCUGAUGUUAGCGGCGGACGGGUGAGUAACACGUGGAUAACCUACCUAUAAGACUGGGAUAACUUCGGGAAACCGUAGCUAAUACCGGAUAAUAUUUUGAACCGCAUGGUUCAAAAGUGAAAGACGGUCUUGCUGUCACUUAUAGAUGGAUCCGCGCUGCAUUAGCUAGUUGGUAAGGUAACGGCUUACCAAGGCAACGAUGCAUAGCCGACCUGAGAGGGUGAUCGGCCACACUGGAACUGAGACACGGUCCAGACUCCUACGGGAGGCAGCAGUAGGGAAUCUUCCGCAAUGGGCGAAAGCCUGACGGAGCAACGCCGCGUGAGUGAUGAAGGUCUUCGGAUCGUAAAACUCUGUCAUUAGGGAAGAACAUAUGUGUAAGUAACUGUGCACAUCUUGACGGUACCUAAUCAGAAAGCCACGGCUAACUACGU